Molecule: ribosomal RNA, 468 nt
Filed under: uncultured bacterium
Lineage: Bacteria
Description: partial 16S ribosomal RNA
Rfam family: Bacterial small subunit ribosomal RNA
Source: RNAcentral
GACGAACGCUGGCGGCGUGCUUAACACAUGCAAGUCGAACGGAAAGGCCCUGCUUUUGUGGGGUGCUCGAGUGGCGAACGGGUGAGUAACACGUGAGUAACCUGCCCUUGACUUUGGGAUAACUUCAGGAAACUGUGGCUAAUACCGGAUAGGAGCUCCUGCUGCAUGGUGGGGGUUGGAAAGUUUCGGCGGUUGGGGAUGGAAUCGCGGCUUAUCAGCUUGUUGGUGGGGUAGUGGCUUACCAAGGCUUUGACGGGUAGCCGGCCUGAGAGGGUGACCGGCCACAUUGGGACUGAGAUACGGCCCAGACUCCUACGGGAGGCAGCAGUGGGGAAUAUUGCACAAUGGGCGGAAGCCUGAUGCAGCAACGCCGCGUGCGGGAUGACGGCCUUCGGGUUGUAAACCGCUUUCGCCUGUGACGAAGCGUGAGUGACGGUAAUGGGUAAAGAAGCACCGGCUAACUACGUG